This 697-nucleotide long non-coding RNA is filed under the name Rattus norvegicus (Norway rat). Its description in RNAcentral is "long non-coding RNA NONRATT028385". Lineage: Eukaryota; Metazoa; Chordata; Mammalia; Rodentia; Muridae. The record is from RNAcentral.
CCGCCCAACCGCCGCCCGGCGCGCAGGCAGCCCAACCGCCGUCCCGGCCCAACCAACGCGGGAGGGGAGAGAGGAGCGCACGGCCGGCGGGGCACGCGAGCCACUCGGGGGGCACGGGGCAGGUUGCGGGCCGGGGAGUCGAGGCGGGCGGCGCCGAAGCCCACGCUGGACGCGGGGCCCGGACGGCUUCCCGGAGGGGACUCUCCCCUCUCGGCGUAGAAGGUACUUACACGACGUUGGGUGAGGGGAGCUGGAAGAUCAGCGGGUCCCGGAUCCUCUCUCCCUAGGGGUGAUGGAAAUCAAACCCCCCCGCCGCCUCCAGGUGGUUCUUCCCGCCGCAGAGUGGGAGCAGCAUAAAAGGCGGGGCCUUAUUAGCAUAAUCUGCCUGGCAACCUGAUCUCAACGUUAUGUGAUUGGCUAAACUCUGAAAGUCCCAUGCUGUUCCUAGAGACCAGGAACGCUGGGCCGAACUGACAAGCCCAGAUUUAAGAGUCAUGACGAAAAUCCUGGGACGCUAAUUCAGUCUGCAGAGAAGCCAAAAGGAGAUUCACACAAUGGCCCAAUGACUGAAGGCCUCUUUAUUUGGUGCUCUGCAGUUCAUGUAAAACCCAAUAGAAGAGCGGGUCUCUGGCGGUGCUUGCCUGCGUUUGUACUCUAAGCCAAUCAGAAAGCCCCACUCUUUGCAUUCAGGGUCAAG